CGCAAGCCUGAUGCAGCCAUGCCGCGUGUAUGAAGAAGGCCUUCGGGUUGUAAAGUACUUUCAGCAGUGAGGAAGGUGGGUAUGUUAAUAGCAUAUUCAUUUGACGUUAGCUGCAGAAGAAGCACCGGCUAACUCCGUGCCAGCAGCCGCGGUAAUACGGAGGGUGCGAGCGUUAAUCGGAAUUACUGGGCGUAAAGCGCAUGCAGGUGGUUUGUUAAGUCAGAUGUGAAAGCCCGGGGCUCAACCUCGGAAUUGCAUUUGAAACUGGCAAACUAGAGUACUGUAGAGGGGGUAGAAUUUCAGGUGUAGCGGUGAAAAUGCGUAGAGAUCUGAAGGAAUACCGGUGGCGAAGGCGGCCCCCUGGACAGAUACUGACACUCAGAUGCGAAAGCGUGGGGAGCAAACAGGAUUAGAUACCCUGGUAG
Molecule: ribosomal RNA, 425 nt
Filed under: uncultured bacterium
Lineage: Bacteria
Description: bacterial SSU rRNA
Rfam family: Bacterial small subunit ribosomal RNA
Source: RNAcentral